AGUGAACGCUGGCGGUAGGCCUAACACAUGCAAGUCGAACGGCAGCACAGAGGAGCUUGCUCCUUGGGUGGCGAGUGGCGGACGGGUGAGGAAUACAUCGGAAUCUACUCUGUCGUGGGGGAUAACGUAGGGAAACUUACGCUAAUACCGCAUACGACCUACGGGUGAAAGCAGGGGACCUUCGGGCCUUGCGCGAUUGAAUGAGCCGGUGUCGGAUUAGCUAGUUGGCGGGGUAAAGGCCCACCAAGGCGACGAUCCGUAGCUGGUCUGAGAGGAUGCUCAGCCACACUGGAACUGAGACACGGUCCAGACUCCUACGGGAGGCAGCAGUGGGGAACAUUGGACAAUGGGCGCAAGCCUGAUCCAGCCAUACCGCGUGGGUGAAGAAGGCCUUCGGGUUGUAAAGCCCUUUUGUUGGGAAAGAAAUCCAGCUGGCUAAUACCCGGUUGGGAUGACGGUACCCAAAGAAUAAGCACCGGCUAACUUCGUGCCAGCCGCCGCCGUAA
Molecule: ribosomal RNA, 506 nt
Filed under: uncultured bacterium
Lineage: Bacteria
Description: partial 16S ribosomal RNA
Rfam family: Bacterial small subunit ribosomal RNA
Source: RNAcentral